UCGUUAGCAAGAGCUAACGUUAGCUAGCAAGAGUUCCGGCAGGUGAUGUCACGCAAUCCCAGCAUGCACCAGUCAAUAUCAAAACACUGCCAUCGGAGCUGAGCCAGAGUUAGCUAGCUACGUUACUAGCUAGCUAGUUGCACCUAUUGUAGAUAGCUAGCUAGAUGAAUAGAUAAUUUUUAUUGAUCCCAAGGGGAAAUAAUUUGCUGCCUAUUUAAUAAACGCCUUGAUUCAGCAUGGUGGAUAGCUGCUGUGCGUCGGGAUGCCAGAACCAUCGGAAAAAAAGAUAAUGGAUAGCAUUUUAUGAGAUGCCUAGCUAGCUAAAGAUCCCGAGAGAAGAAGUAAAUGGAUUGCUUCCAUAAAACGUGCUAGAAGCAGACAGAACCAAACCGAACCAUGGGAGCCCACAAACAAUGGAUUUCGGUUAUGCUGUGACCACUUUAUAUCAGUUGCUGAGAGCCGAAGGUGUUGGCGUCCGGUUGGUGGUAUCUCCUUCCCUUUGUGCUGUGUCGCCCCGUUUUCAUUUGCUGUGUUCACUGUUGUGUUUUUGUGUGUUCACGGGUGACUUUCCCUGGGUUCCCCCUUACUGCCCUCGUACCCCCUUCUCCACCACUGGUAAGCCUCAGCACAAUUAUUUUCUCCCUUUUUGGUGUGAAUGUGUUUUAAAU
Perca fluviatilis (European perch) is the source of this 668-nucleotide long non-coding RNA. RefSeq lists it as uncharacterized. The record is from RefSeq and is a predicted model, not a curated record. The transcript has 2 exons. NCBI's taxonomy places the organism in Eukaryota, Metazoa, Chordata, Actinopteri, Perciformes, Percidae.